CUCCUGAUGGUGUAGUUGGUUAUCACAUCCGGCUGUAAUUAAAACGAUACCGGUUGGUCGCUAGUUCGAUUCUGGCUCAGGAGA
This is a non-coding RNA of Schizosaccharomyces pombe (fission yeast), 84 nucleotides long. NCBI's taxonomy places the organism in Eukaryota, Fungi, Ascomycota, Schizosaccharomycetes, Schizosaccharomycetales, Schizosaccharomycetaceae. The record is from Rfam.